Molecule: non-coding RNA, 236 nt
Organism: Ictidomys tridecemlineatus (thirteen-lined ground squirrel)
Lineage: Eukaryota; Metazoa; Chordata; Mammalia; Rodentia; Sciuridae
Source: Rfam
AUUCCAUCUCUAUUCAGUAAAAAGUUUUGUACUUGUAUUUCACGUUAUUAAGAAAGUGAUGUUGAAAAAAAAAGAUCAAGUGUAGCAUCUGUUCUUAUUGGUUUAAUAUCAGAUAUGUUCUCUAUCUGCAGACAAUAUAUUAAAUGGAUUUUUGGAGCAGCAGGGUGGAAUAAGAGUUUGUGCCCUAUACUCCAUGCAUUUACCUGGUAUCACAGUUCAGGAAUGGAGCACCCCCU